GUUGCCUUUUCAUCAAUAUAAAUACUACACUAAUUUAGAGAAUGUAGGUUCCAACAAUAUGCAGCUUCAUUAUACACAAACGUCUGUGUGUUCUGUAACUCACAACAUACUUGGUUAGGCAUACAACUACUAUGUAUUGAAGACCCAUUGUCGGCUGUUGUCUCUUUGACAAAUUCCCCAUUUCAAUUCUUAUUUUAACUAUAUUGUUAAUUAUCAAAUAAACAAAAAAUAGAUAGAAAUAAAACCUAUUUUUAUGCGUUUGAAGCGCUUUUCUG
This 275-nucleotide long non-coding RNA is filed under the name Mytilus galloprovincialis (Mediterranean mussel). The record is from RNAcentral. Lineage: Eukaryota; Metazoa; Mollusca; Bivalvia; Mytilida; Mytilidae.